GGCGGGGCUGCUCUGCGCCCGCUGGAGACCUGGCGCUGUGCUCCGGUCAACCCUGGUCGCCGUCAGCCUGCUUGUGUGCCGCGAAAGCCAGCCUGCUUUCGGAUCGUCUGCCCUGUCACAGACUUUCCGCGCAAUGCCAAGUUUUGUGUGAAUAUUUGGAUUUGGUAACUCACUAUGCUUGGCCCAGCAGCGUCGCUCCCGGAAGGCCCAGCUUCUGCUGGCGACGAGUAGCCCAAGGGCAGGAGCAGCGAUUAAUGAGGUUAAUUCUGGGUCGACAGCCAAACUCCAGUGUAAGCGAAAGUGAGAAAAUAAAAUGCCUAACAGUCCUUCCCCUCAGAGGUUACUGCUGACCACUGUUAACGCCUUAUUGUAUAUAACUUUCCAGAUCAUAGGAAACACCCACCACUGAAGUAUUUAGAGAUAUGAUUCCUCCAUCUCUGAAAAGCUGACCAGGAGUGGUCAAUUAUUCCACAGUGCCCCCGUGUUUGCCUGCACUUGUACUAGAUGAGUGGUUUCCAGACCCAGCAGAGCAUCAGAAGAAUUUGAGAAGCUUGCUCAAAUGCACAUGCCUAGGCCUCAUCCCUGAAAAUUACACCUUUAUAAGUUCUUGGUGGGGACCCAGACACCUGCAUGUUUAACUACCUCCUACAGCAUUUCUGAUAAUCAGCAAGAUUUGGCAACCACUAAGGUGUUUCUAAGGGUACCUGAAACCUAACCCCAAGAGGCUUGUGGCACUGUCACUUGAUACACUUGGAUUUGCAGAACACAGUCUUUCAUGGAUUUGUUUUUAACCAACUGUAUUAAAUCAUCUCCCUUUCUCCUAAUGUAAAAACAGGCAGUUAGUACCUGGAAACAAAUGUCGUUGGAGAUCUACUUUAUGUUCCAGACCUUUCUUAGAAUACACCGGUCUGCAAAGUGGAGGCCUGUGGG
Microcebus murinus (gray mouse lemur) is the source of this 930-nucleotide non-coding RNA. The record is from RefSeq and is a predicted model, not a curated record. Lineage: Eukaryota; Metazoa; Chordata; Mammalia; Primates; Cheirogaleidae.